This 308-nucleotide long non-coding RNA is filed under the name Lathyrus oleraceus (garden pea). RNAcentral describes it as "Pisum sativum (pea) long non-coding RNA (PSAT_LNC032157)". The record is from RNAcentral. Lineage: Eukaryota; Viridiplantae; Streptophyta; Magnoliopsida; Fabales; Fabaceae.
UUAUCAUGUCAAUCGGGAUUAGCUCCAAGAAGCUUGAACAUCAUCCAGGACACUUUGUGGGUUCUAUUUAGAUGAUCAGUCAACACAAGGGAAAGACUUGAGUUACUUCCAACAGGGGUCUAUUCGUCAGUCAAAACGUUAAGCUUGAAGGAGCAAAGGUUUGUUCAUGAGAUGUCAUGCUUGCUAGGCGAAGCCCACGUGUUGUGCAAAAAAAAAAAAGAACGAAAAACGAAAAAAAAACGAAAAACGAAAAUAAAUAAAUAAAUAAAAUAAAAAAUCUCAGACUUGGACCUCUCUCAAAAGCCCAC